Molecule: ribosomal RNA, 555 nt
Filed under: Zhangixalus dennysi (Blanford's whipping frog)
Lineage: Eukaryota; Metazoa; Chordata; Amphibia; Anura; Rhacophoridae
Description: partial 16S ribosomal RNA
Rfam family: Bacterial large subunit ribosomal RNA
Source: RNAcentral
GAUUAACUAUAAGAGGUCCAGCCUGCCCAGUGAUAAAUUUAACGGCCGCGGUACCCUGACCGUGCGAAGGUAGCAUAAUCACUUGUUCUUUAAAUAGGGACUUGUAUCAACGGCAUCACGAGGGUUAUACUGUCUCCUCUCUCCAAUCAGUGAAACUGAUCUCCCCGUGAAGAAGCGGGGAUAUUAACAUAAGACGAGAAGACCCCAUGGAGCUUUAAAUUUUAUAGCAAUUCAGUCAAAUAAUUCCCAAUAAUCUACAGAACUAUGCCUAUUAAUUUUAGGUUGGGGUGACCGCGGAGCAAAAAUUAACCUCCAUGACGAAAAGAACUAAAUCUUUAUCUAAGAGCCACAACUCUAAGAAUUAGUAUACUAACGACCAUGACCCGAUAAUCGAUCAACGGACCAAGUUACCCUGGGGAUAACAGCGCAAUCUACUUUGAGAGCCCAUAUCGACAAGUAGGCUUACGACCUCGAUGUUGGAUCAGGGUAUCCCAGUGGUGCAGCCGCUACUAAUGGUUCGUUUGUUCAACGAUUAAAACCCUACGUGAUCUGAGU